Molecule: ribosomal RNA, 249 nt
Filed under: uncultured bacterium
Lineage: Bacteria
Description: partial 16S ribosomal RNA
Rfam family: Bacterial small subunit ribosomal RNA
Source: RNAcentral
GAUCAUGGCUCAGGAUGAACGCUAGCGGCAGGCCUAACACAUGCAAGUCGAGGGGCAGCGGGGAUUGAGCUUGCUCAAUUUGCCGGCGACCGGCGCACGGGUGCGUAACGCGUAUGUAACCUACCCUGAACUGGGGAAUAACACUGAGAAAUCGGUACUAAUACCCCAUAAUACACUGGAAGGACGAUCUUUUGGUUGUUGUAAAGACUCCGCGGUUCUAAGAUGGACGAUGCGUUGUAUUAGUCUUAG